UACGGAGGGUGCAAACGUUGCUCGGAAUCAUUGGGCGUAAAGCGCGUGUAGGCGGUCGAUCAAGUCGGAUGUGAAAGCCCUGGGCUCAACCCAGGAAGUGCACCCGAUACUGGUCGACUAGAGUACAAGAGAGGAUAGCGGAAUUCCCGGUGUAGAGGUGAAAUUCGUAGAUAUCGGGAGGAACACCAGUGGCGAAGGCGGCUAUCUGGAUUGAUACUGACGCUGAGACGCGAAAGCGUGGGGAGCAAACAGG
This 253-nucleotide unclassified non-coding RNA is filed under the name uncultured Myxococcales bacterium. Its description in RNAcentral is "contains 16S-23S intergenic spacer region". It matches the Rfam family "Bacterial small subunit ribosomal RNA", at positions 524 to 776 of the family's 1533-position model. Lineage: Bacteria; Pseudomonadati; Myxococcota; Myxococcia; Myxococcales. The record is from RNAcentral.